RNAcentral lists this ribosomal RNA (170 nucleotides) under Sinibotia pulchra. RNAcentral describes it as "partial 12S ribosomal RNA". The record is from RNAcentral. Lineage: Eukaryota; Metazoa; Chordata; Actinopteri; Cypriniformes; Botiidae.
CACCGCGGUUAUACGAGAGGCCCUAGUUGAUAGCUACGGCGUAAAGGGUGGUUAAGGAGAGCAAAAAUAAAGCCAAAGGGCCUCUUGGCCGUCAUACGCUUCUGAGCGUCCGAAGACCUAGUACGAAAGUAGCUUUAACACGCCCACCUGACCCCACGAAAACUGAGAAA